CCGGCAACCGGCGCACGGGUGAGUAACACGUAUGCAACCUGCCCGUCUCAGGGGGAUAAUCGUCGGAAACGGCGUCUAAUACCCCGUAUGAAGCUGGACGGCAUCGUCUGGUUUUGAAAGAAUAUCGGAGACGGAUGGGCAUGCGGCGCAUUAGCUAGUUGGCGGGGUAACGGCCCACCAAGGCGACGAUGCGUAGGGGUUCUGAGAGGAAGGUCCCCCACACUGGUACUGAGACACGGACCAGACUCCUACGGGAGGCAGCAG
RNAcentral lists this ribosomal RNA (264 nucleotides) under uncultured bacterium. RNAcentral describes it as "partial 16S ribosomal RNA". It matches the Rfam family "Bacterial small subunit ribosomal RNA", at positions 88 to 354 of the family's 1533-position model. The record is from RNAcentral.